ACGUAGGGAGCAAGCGUUGUCCGGAUUUACUGGGUGUAAAGGGUGCGUAGGCGGAUUGGCAAGUCAGAAGUGAAAUCCAUGGGCUUAACCCAUGAACUGCUUUUGAAACUGUUAGUCUUGAGUGAAGUAGAGGUAGGCGGAAUUCCCGGUGUAGCGGUGAAAUGCGUAGAGAUCGGGAGGAACACCAGUGGCGAAGGCGGCCUACUGGGCUUUAACUGACGCUAAGGCACGAAAGUGUGGGUAGCAAACAG
Molecule: ribosomal RNA, 251 nt
Filed under: uncultured bacterium
Lineage: Bacteria
Description: partial 16S ribosomal RNA
Rfam family: Bacterial small subunit ribosomal RNA
Source: RNAcentral